This 798-nucleotide ribosomal RNA is filed under the name uncultured bacterium. Its description in RNAcentral is "bacterial SSU rRNA". It matches the Rfam family "Bacterial small subunit ribosomal RNA", at positions 63 to 834 of the family's 1533-position model. The record is from RNAcentral.
CUUGAAGAUCGGAGUGCUUGCACUCUGUGAAACAAGAUACAGGCUAGCGGCGGACGGGUGAGUAACACGUGGGUAACCUGCCCAAGAGAUCGGGAUAACACCUGGAAACAGAUGCUAAUACCGGAUAACAACAGAUGAUGCCUAUCAACUGUUUAAAAGAUGGUUCUGCUAUCACUCUUGGAUGGACCUGCGGUGCAUUAGCUAGUUGGUAGGGUAACGGCCUACCAAGGCGAUGAUGCAUAGCCGAGUUGAGAGACUGAUCGGCCACAUUGGGACUGAGACACGGCCCAAACUCCUACGGGAGGCAGCAGUAGGGAAUCUUCCACAAUGGACGCAAGUCUGAUGGAGCAACGCCGCGUGAGUGAAGAAGGGUUUCGGCUCGUAAAGCUCUGUUGUUGGUGAAGAAGGACAGGGGUAGUAACUGACCUUUGUUUGACGGUAAUCAAUUAGAAAGUCACGGCUAACUACGUGCCAGCAGCCGCGGUAAUACGUAGGUGGCAAGCGUUGUCCGGAUUUAUUGGGCGUAAAGCGAGUGCAGGCGGCUCGAUAAGUCUGAUGUGAAAGCCUUCGGCUCAACCAGAGAAUUGCAUCAGAAACUGUCGAGCUUGAGUACAGAAGAGGAGAGUGGAACUCCAUGUGUAGCGGUGAAAUGCGUAGAUAUAUGGAAGAACACCGGUGGCGAAGGCGGCUCUCUGGUCUGUUACUGACGCUGAGGCUCGAAAGCAUGGGUAGCGAACAGGAUUAGAUACCCUGGUAGUCCAUGCCGUAAACGAUGAGUGCUAAGUGUUGGGAGGUUUC